AUAGCAAAUGACUUGUGAUAAGAGAAACUUAGGCUUGUCUAUUUUCGUAUAAAGUGCAUAAAACUAAGGGGUUGUUUGGGGUGACCUAAAUAAGUGUAUUUUUUGUCUUUUUAUAAAAAGAUAUGCAGAAAAAUAAAGAAGUGAUGUGAUGGAAAAAAUAUAAAAAAAUAAAAAGAUGGAUUAUUUUGUAGUAGCCAAACUUGGCCUAAAACUCAUACGCUGUUUUCAGAGAGAGCAACUUGCAUACUGUUGAAUUGUUGACCGUCAACUCAUCUAAAAGCUCAAGCUGAUAGAGAGAGGGGCAACUUUAUUAUUUAUAUUAUUCUCAACAGAUAUGAUGUGUUGACUAACAAGAAUUAAGUGUCGUAGCCUGUGUGGUCAGUUCUUUUAUUAAAAUGAAUUAAGUAUUUAUGCUAGUUUUGAUUUCUAAAGUGUCUUACAGUUUACAAAUAUAACUUGCUUAACUAUGAGUAAUUUUCUGUCUUCCUUGCAAUGCUCUUUUACUUAUUCCAGAACCGCAAUUUUCUUCAAAGCUGAUCAGAUUGCAAUAUUUUUAUAAGUAAAACAAAAUCUCAGAGCUAGCCAGGGAGCGACUUAUCUCAUAGUAUUAGUAUGCUUACAUUCAUACCACUGGUUUUUUGCUGUGACAUUAUUUUUUUUAGGAAAAACAUUCUUCGGAGUGAGCAAUUCAAAUAAGGAGUGGCUCAUCACAUGCCAGUGCUUUGUUAUUUACAUAGACUAUUGACACUCUGUGAGAAGAGGACUUAUACAAAAUAAAAGGUCAUAUGAGGAUGUUUAUUUGCUGAUAAUUUGUGGGUUACCUUUCUGUGUACCCCAAAAAUACAUUGUCUGGUUACUCCCAGCUAUUCCAUAAUUUGCAACUUAAGUGAUUGAAGGUAUUGUGUGGUCAUUUGUAGUAAAUAAAAGGGGAAAUUACAAAUCAGUGUAGAAGAUCACAAAUAAUUACAAACACAUGGGCGGAGCAACGUUUUCUGUGCAACAAAACCACAACAAAAGUUGCAUCCCAAACCUAUUGCAUUUCUUGUAUGGAAUUUCAAUGCUACAUCCACAAACUUACAUCAGUGAGGGAAGUCAACCAUGGUUGGUAUAUUAAUCCUAAACCUAAGUAGUAGAUAAACAAAGCGUACUGAAGACUUACUCAAGUGAAGCUCCGAAACCUAACAGGUGAUAAAACCUUUAUCAUCCAAAUGUUAAGUUCGAACUCCUACGAUAUGUUAAAAGGUUUUUAUGAGUUUGGUAGUUGGUUUGGCUGAUCUGUUAAAUCAUGUGAAGUAGAACUAGUCCAAAAUGGCAUGCUGGUUCGUUAAAAAGAUUCGUUUGCAACUUUUAGAUAUCUGUUUGACUUGGUUCAUAGCUUCACAUAAUUUUAUGAAAAAAAGCGAGUCUGGAAUUGUUGUUGAUCUUACGAGUCAGCAUUAGAGGCUCUGAUCAUACCCAUCUCACAUAUAUUACAUAAGCUUUGUCUGGCUUUGAUUUGCAGGCACUGUUUCAUUCCAUUGUAUAGAAGUGGCACCCUCAUCGAGAGACGUAACUAUGUGGUCUCCUAAAUCUGGCUGGAUCUUUAUCCGGAAAAAUUACAAAAAGAAAUCUUAUGAAAGGUUUGAUUUUAUUGUUUGUAAGGCUGGUGAUGAUUUUUGGAUGCUGUCCACUUUAGGCAAGGAGGGCACUAGGUUGUGCUAAAUGAGUGUGUAUGGGUAUGAUUGACUGAAAUUUGUUUACAAAUUCAUGCAAACGAGAAACAUUCAUAAAAUUUUUGUUGCGCCUUUAUUUCCCCUGAUGAAGUUUUAUGAAAUGGUAUCAGUGGAUCCAAGAAAUUAGAGCUGAGAUUUCUUCUGAGUUGGGGUUUAUUGAAUGCUGCUUUGCUGAGGAAACAAACCUCUGCUGGGCUACUUGCACAGCGGUUAAGGGAGUGAAUUAUUGGAUGAGCCGUAAACUCAGGGCAUUUUGUGUUCAACUCAUUGGUGUCUCCCAGACUGAACUGAUACAUGUAUUGUAAAUAUGUGAGAUUUACGCUACAGGAAUGGGCUGAAGGCUACAACUUGGACCCUUCCCUCUCCUAAAGUGCCUCUAAUUUUAGAUGAAAAUGUGAUUUAAUUCCAAGAUUUUAAUAUUACAACAAGAUUUAAUUAA
This is a non-coding RNA of Camellia sinensis, 2151 nucleotides long. The record is from RefSeq and is a predicted model, not a curated record. NCBI's taxonomy places the organism in Eukaryota, Viridiplantae, Streptophyta, Magnoliopsida, Ericales, Theaceae.